RNAcentral lists this unclassified non-coding RNA (1003 nucleotides) under Hevea brasiliensis (rubber tree). The record is from RNAcentral. Lineage: Eukaryota; Viridiplantae; Streptophyta; Magnoliopsida; Malpighiales; Euphorbiaceae.
CUCACUAAUCAUGCAUUAUUAUUACUGACUAAUAUCCACUACAAUAACUAUCACAUAAAGGAGGAUAAGGAAACAAGAAAAUUAUACUAUGCGUGCAAUGAACAAUGAAUAAAAGAAAUCAACGAUGCUCUCAACUCAAUUGUAUACCAUAUAAUAAAAUCUAGUAGCGAUAAUAGUAAUAACUACCUUUUAAUCUUCUUCUUAACCUCUAUCAUUCUCUUCACAGAAGCUCUCCCCUGGCCGCGUAACCAUAUCGGGACCUUCUGAUAUUGUCCUGCCUCUUCUUAUAAAGCAAACCAACCAUUACAACCACGCCCGCCACCAAAACCACUCCAAUAGCAAUCCCAGCCUUCUUUCCUCCGCUCAUUCCAGAAGAUCCCUUCGACUGGUCGCCAUUUGCUUCUACAUUGUUGCUGUGAUUGAUAUCACUCGGCUCCACCGGAGCCGGCGCAGGAACACCAGAGUUCUCAGGCGAGUGAGUCGGAGUGGGAGAAGCACCAGGACCAAGCAGAUCUGACGGCGGCGGCGCUGGAGGCGAAACUAUUGGUGAAUAUGUAGGCGAAGGAGGGAGAUCCAUCGCCGGUGAAGGAGAAGGAGGGGAAAGCAGCGGUGAACGGGCAGGUAGUUGAGGAGACGGACUAGGGGACGAGUCUGAUUCCGGUGGUGGAGUUGCAGAGAGAGUAACUUGUAUAGCAAAGAAGGCUAAAAGAGCGUAGAUGAAGAAUUUGGUAGCCAUAGAAGAGAAUGCAGUUGAAAAGAGAGCGUGUUUGGAUGGUUAGAGAUCUGAGAGGAAGUGAAACCGAAGAGACGGUUGUUGAAAAAGAGUAAGAAACGGGAGAGCGGAAAUCGGGUAGGCUUUUAAGCUUUGAGUAACGCAAUGGAUAUAUUUUAACAAUUAAUACACAUAAUUUAUGCAAUUAAUUAACGAAUUACACGUAUUAUAACUUGUUUGGAUAGUUUUUUUUAUGAAGGAAAGAAAAUAAAGAGUGGAAAAUGAGAAGUG